Molecule: long non-coding RNA, 597 nt
Filed under: Arabidopsis lyrata
Lineage: Eukaryota; Viridiplantae; Streptophyta; Magnoliopsida; Brassicales; Brassicaceae
Description: long non-coding RNA (ALYR_LNC002671)
Source: RNAcentral
GUGCUCUGUGUUUCUCUAUCUGUUUGACACAAGAGAAACCGAGUUUUAUAGUGAUCAACGGUCUUCACGUACGUUUGCAACCGUACAUUUAAUAUAAUAACCGUUUGUACCAAAAGGUGCGAUGGUUGGUGAAUAACCGUCGAUGUAUGUACACUAACCGUCGAUGUACGUACAGUUAAAUAUCCAACAUUCGUGAAUAACCGACGAUGUACGUACACUUCAAUAUCACGUACACUUAAAUAUCCAACAUUCCUCCCCCAUUUAAGUGUAAUCUUUGAUUCACAAAAUUAACAACACGUAAACCAAACUCAUGCAUAAAUGUAAAUGUCGUGACGAUUGAAUUUACAUCUUAGUGAUAUUACACAUUCCAAAUGCCCGAGAAUCAGGAUGUCCUACGGAUUGAAUCCUUCAACUCAUUUUGAGCACAUGAAGAUAAUACACACACGAAUUCACUCACUACUCUAAGUGUUUAUCCUUGACACUAUUAUAAGCCAUGUGUCCUUAUCCAUUCAUGAGCGUAUACAAAGCCAAGUCCAAGCUUCUUGAAGCGGCUACACUUCACACCCAUAUAGGUAGAUCUUUUAAUCUUGCACCUGC